This 73-nucleotide transfer RNA is filed under the name Candidatus Synechococcus spongiarum. Its description in RNAcentral is "tRNA-Ala". It matches the Rfam family "tRNA". From Rfam's summary of the family: Transfer RNA (tRNA) molecules are approximately 80 nucleotides in length. Lineage: Bacteria; Bacillati; Cyanobacteriota; Cyanophyceae; Synechococcales; Synechococcaceae. The record is from RNAcentral.
GGGGGUUUAGCUCAGUUGGUAGAGCGCCUGCUUUGCAAGCAGGAAGUCAGCGGUUCGAAUCCGCUAACCUCCA